This is a long non-coding RNA of Medicago truncatula (barrel medic), 636 nucleotides long. RefSeq lists it as uncharacterized. The transcript has 2 exons. NCBI's taxonomy places the organism in Eukaryota, Viridiplantae, Streptophyta, Magnoliopsida, Fabales, Fabaceae. The record is from RefSeq and is a predicted model, not a curated record.
CGUGUUUCUCUCUUUUUCACGCGUUUCUCAAUUUUCUCUGUUUUCUCUCUCCGAGCUUCACCUUCACCUUCAUCGUGCCUCUCUCCUUCUGCGGUGGUGCUUCUCCCUCCUCGCCGUCUCCGUCGCCGCCGUUUUCUGUCUCCCCUCUCCGUGACAGUUUUCUCUCUCCUCGCCGAAGUUUUCAUCACACGCGACCCUCACUAGCUCAGCAAGCAAGCAUGUAAACAAGUCUUCAUGGGACACUUUGACAGCUCCUUCUCCCACGGUAUCUCAAAGUGUUUGGAUAAAGCCAAGCAAGCAUGUUAACAGAUCACCUGCAGAUUUGUGUAGUUUAAGAAAGUAACAUCAGGCAUAAGAUGUAAUCUUCGUAUUUUUACUUACACUAAUGUAUAUUUUUAUAGUUUAGAGUAUCUUCAUAUUAUUUACAUUUAGACUUCACCAUCAUACUUGAAACUUACCUAAGGCACUUAAUACUUUUAACAUUAAUCAAUUUGCUCUCUAUUUUCUUUUUUAAGUGCUUGGAUACCAAUAAUAAAUAACACUUUUUCAGCCUCUAAAUUUAGCAUUCAAAACUAACGAAUAGUAAAUACAAAGUUGUUACUAAUAAAUACCACUUUCUCAUGGUUUCAUAGUUUA